GUACAAUUAAGUCAGGCCUAACUCACUCUCUAUCCUGAAUAGCUUUUUUUUUUUCCCCUGGAUUCCUGAUUGCUUUGCUUAUUUUCAGAUUUAGUGACUCAAUUCAACUUUUAAAGUCCCAGUUAAAGUUUAGUGCUGGGGCACAGAUAAAAUUCUGAAAAAAGCUACUCUACUAAUAACAGCCGCCAGAAUUCUACCGCCACGUGGGUGGUCUCUGCCAGCUUCCCGAGUUGUGCCCCCCGAGUGGAUGGACAAAAUAAUACAGAGACAUUAUAAAAGGAACAUGGAUGAAGAGCUGCUUGAAGGAGUAUGGGCAGCUAAGAUCUCCUCAUCUUCAUGAUUAUUAUCUUCUCACUUCUUUGGAGCAGGAAGAUCAUGAGAAACCUUCUCUACAGUUUCAUACUAUGCCUGAUGUGUACCACUCUCCUCCCCCAGUGGAAAGGAGGAUGGACAAGACAAUGAACAUGUAUUGUUAUCUCCCCAGGAAUGUAACUUCUCAGCCACUGCUCCAGAACUAUGCCUGCCUGCCUGCCUGCCUUCUGCCUGCUUCCAUGUUCCCCACCAUGAUGGGCAUGGACUCUAAUCCUCAAAGAUGCCAUGCUUAUCAUCAAGAGGAUAAUGGACUGAAACUUUAAGCCAG
Molecule: long non-coding RNA, 640 nt
Filed under: Cricetulus griseus (Chinese hamster)
Lineage: Eukaryota; Metazoa; Chordata; Mammalia; Rodentia; Cricetidae
Description: lncRNA (ENSCGRG00015018246.2)
Source: RNAcentral